RNAcentral lists this microRNA precursor (74 nucleotides) under Mesocricetus auratus (golden hamster). Its description in RNAcentral is "miRNA (ENSMAUG00000001572.1)". The record is from RNAcentral. Lineage: Eukaryota; Metazoa; Chordata; Mammalia; Rodentia; Cricetidae.
GAUGGUUAUAAGCAACUGUGUGGUUGCUGGGCAUUGAACUCGGAACCUCUGGAAGUGCUCUUAACUGCUGAGCC